UAGGGCGCAAGCGUUAUCCGGAAUUAUUGGGCGUAAAGAGCUCGUAGGCGGUUUGUCGCGUCUGCCGUGAAAGUCCGGGGCUCAACUCCGGAUCUGCGGUGGGUACGGGCAGACUAGAGUGAUGUAGGGGAGACUGGAAUUCCUGGUGUAGCGGUGAAAUGCGCAGAUAUCAGGAGGAACACCGAUGGCGAAGGCAGGUCUCUGGGCAUUAACUGACGCUGAGGAGCGAAAGCAUGGGGAGCGAACAGGAUUAGAUACCCUGGUAGUCCAUGCCGUAAACGUUGGGCACUAGGUGCGGGGGACAUUCCACGUUUUCCGCGCCGUAGCUAACGCAUUAAGUGCCCCGCCUGGGGAGUACGGCCGCAAGGCUA
RNAcentral lists this ribosomal RNA (371 nucleotides) under uncultured bacterium. RNAcentral describes it as "bacterial SSU rRNA". It matches the Rfam family "Bacterial small subunit ribosomal RNA", at positions 528 to 896 of the family's 1533-position model. The record is from RNAcentral.